AACGAACGCUGGCGGCAUGCCUAACACAUGCCAGUCGAACGAUGCCUUCGGGCAUAGUGGCGCACGGGUGCGUAACGCGUGGGAAUCUGCCUUCCGGUUCGGAAUAACUCAGGGAAACUUGAGCUAAUACCGGAUAACGUCGCAAGACCAAAGAUUUAUCACCGAAAGAUGAGCCCGCGUAGGAUUAGCUAGUUGGUGAGGUAAAGGCUCACCAAGGCGACGAUCCUUAGCUGGUCUGAGAGGAUGAUCAGCCACACUGGGACUGAGACACGGCCCAGACUCCUACGGGAGGCAGCAGUGGGGAAUAUUGGACAAUGGGCGAAAGCCUGAUCCAGCAAUGCCGCGUGAGUGAUGAAGGCCUUAGGGCUGUAAAGCUCUUUUACCCGGGAAGAUAAUGACGGUACCGGGAGAAUAAGCCCCGGCUAACUCCGUG
RNAcentral lists this ribosomal RNA (433 nucleotides) under uncultured bacterium. Its description in RNAcentral is "partial 16S ribosomal RNA". It matches the Rfam family "Bacterial small subunit ribosomal RNA", at positions 29 to 507 of the family's 1533-position model. The record is from RNAcentral.